AUUGAACGCUGGCGGCAGGCCUAACACAUGCAAGUCGAGCGGAUGAAGGGAGCUUUCUCCUGGAUUCAGCUGCGGACGGGUGAGUAAUUCCUAGGAAUCUGCCUGGUAGUGGGGGAUAACGUCCGUAAACGGGCGCUAAUACCACAUACGUCCUGAGGGAGAAAGGGGGGGAUCUUCGGACCUCACGCUAUCAGAUGAGCCUAGGUCGGAUUAGCUAGUUGGUGGGGUAAAGGCCUACCAAGGCGACGAUCCGUAACUGGUCUGAGAGGAUGAUCAGUCACACUGGAACUGAGACACGGUCCAGACUCCUACGGGAGGCAGCAGUGGGGAAUAUUGGACAAUGGGCGAAAGCCUGAUCCAGCCAUGCCGCGUGUGUGAAGAAGGUCUUCGGAUUGUAAAGCACUUUAAGUUGGGAGGAAGGGAAGUAAGUUAAUACCUUGCUGUUUUGACGUUACCAACAGAAUAAGCACCGGCUAACUUCGUG
RNAcentral lists this ribosomal RNA (484 nucleotides) under uncultured bacterium. Its description in RNAcentral is "partial 16S ribosomal RNA". It matches the Rfam family "Bacterial small subunit ribosomal RNA", at positions 30 to 507 of the family's 1533-position model. The record is from RNAcentral.